CUGAUUUGGAGAUUGGCUUUGUGUUUCUAAAACAGAAAGAAGUUACAAAUUUUGUGGAAGAGAAGAGGAAUACUUCCAAGUACCAGCAUACAAAGAUAGAAUUUACUACAACCAAUGUUACAAAACAAGACACAGCAUCUAAUUUGAACAGUGGAAUGAGCAUGGUGACUGUGAUCCUGAUAAUAAUUAGUAUUUUGUUCGUCGUGGUAACAGCACUUCUCGUGUUAUCUUUAUGGCGAUGUGACGUAGUAAGGAAACAUAAUGAGAUUUCAGCUCUAAAUACUUCAUUAUGCGAACCUCUAACAGUUGAACCGAGGCCAGUCCUAGAUGAUACAGUUCCGGAAAAGAUCAAUGAAAAUAUAUCGUUAUGUAAGAAAAUGUGUUGGUCCGGAGAAUACAAGAUAUCAGAAUAUUCCAUUGAUCAUAAUCUGGGUACAUAUGUUUAAGAGCUUAAAUUAGUUUUUUUUAAAACAACUUAAACAAAUAUUUUGAUACCAUUGUUUGACAAGACGGUGUUCCAAUGAGAAUGGAAUAAGCGACACAAUCUGA
This is a long non-coding RNA of Patella vulgata (common limpet), 549 nucleotides long. RefSeq lists it as uncharacterized. The record is from RefSeq and is a predicted model, not a curated record. The transcript has 3 exons. NCBI's taxonomy places the organism in Eukaryota, Metazoa, Mollusca, Gastropoda, Patellidae.